Molecule: non-coding RNA, 69 nt
Organism: Rattus norvegicus (Norway rat)
Lineage: Eukaryota; Metazoa; Chordata; Mammalia; Rodentia; Muridae
Source: Rfam
GGGGAUUUAGCUCAGUGGUAGAGCACUUGCCUAGCAAGCACAAGGCCCUGGGUUCGGUCCCCAGUUCCG